AGUUAAGAGAAAGAAUUGAACUUUCCAUAAUAGCCCCUAAAACUACUGCAUUAACCACUUUGCUACCUCAAC
This 72-nucleotide transfer RNA is filed under the name Henricia ohshimai. Its description in RNAcentral is "tRNA-Leu". Lineage: Eukaryota; Metazoa; Echinodermata; Asteroidea; Spinulosida; Echinasteridae. The record is from RNAcentral.